UCAGUGAAAUCGAGUAGGGCGGGACACGUGAUAUCCUGUCUGAAUAUGGGGGGACCAUCCUCCAAGGCUAAAUACUACUGACUGACCGAUAGUGAACCAGUACCGUGAGGGAAAGGCGAAAAGAACCCCUGUGAGGGGAGUGAAAUAGAACCUGAAACCGUGUACGUACAAGCAGUAGGAGCAGGCUUUGUCCUGUGACUGCGUACCUUUUGUAUAAUGGGUCAGCGACUUAUAUUCAGUGGCAAGGUUAACCAUCUAGGGGAGCCGUAGGGAAACCGAGUCUUAACUGGGCGUUCAGUCUCUGGAUAUAGACCCGAAACCAGGUGAUCUAGCCAUGGGCAGGUUGAAGGUUGAGUAACAUCAACUGGAGGACCGAACCGACUAAUGUUGAAAAAUUAGCGGAUGACUUGUGGCUAGGGGUGAAAGGCCAAUCAAACCUGGAGAUAGCUGGUUCUCCCCGAAAGCUAUUUAGGUAGCGCCUCGGACGAAUACUACUGGGGGUAGAGCACUGUUAAGGCUAGGGGGUCAUCCCGACUUACCAACCCUUUGCAAACUCCGAAUACCAGUAAGUACUAUCCGGGAGACACACGGCGGGUGCUAACGUCCGUCGUGGAGAGGGAAACAACCCAGACCGCCAGCUAAGGUCCCAAAUUACUACUAAGUGGGAAACGAUGUGGGAAGGCUCAGACAGCCAGGAUGUUGGCUUAGAAGCAGCCAUCAUUUAAAGAAAGCGUAAUAGCUCACUGGUCGAGUCGGCCUGCGCGGAAGAUGUAACGGGGCUAAGUAGUAAACCGAAGCUGCGGCAAUAUACUUUUGUAUAUUGGGUAGGGGAGCGUUCUGUAAGCGGUUGAAGGUGUGUGGUAACGCAUGCUGGACGUAUCAGAAGUGCGAAUGCUGACAUGAGUAACGAUAAAGGGGGUGAAAAACCUCCUCGCCGGAAGACCAAGGGUUCCUGUCCAACGUUAAUCGGGGCAGGGUAAGUCGACCCCUAAGGCGAGGCCGAAAGGCGUAGUCGAUGGGAAACGGGUUAAUAUUCCCGUACUUCUUACAAUUGCGAUGGGGGGACGGAGAAGGCUAGGUGGGCCUGGCGACGGUUGUCCAGGUUCAAGUGCGUAGGCUUAAGAGUUAGGUAAAUCCGGCUCUUUUUAAGGCUGAGACACGACGUCGAGCACCUACGGGUGUGAAGUCAUUGAUGCCAUGCUUCCAGGAAAAGCCUCUAAGCUUCAGAUUGUAAGGAAUCGUACCCCAAACCGACACAGGUGGUCGGGUAGAGAAUACCAAGGCGCUUGAGAGAACUCGGGUGAAGGAACUAGGCAAAAUGGUACCG
Molecule: ribosomal RNA, 1327 nt
Filed under: Vibrio parahaemolyticus
Lineage: Bacteria; Pseudomonadati; Pseudomonadota; Gammaproteobacteria; Vibrionales; Vibrionaceae
Description: partial 23S ribosomal RNA
Rfam family: Bacterial large subunit ribosomal RNA
Source: RNAcentral